GACGAACGCUGGCGGCGUGCUUAACACAUGCAAGUCGAACGGAAAGGCCCUGCUCUUGUGGGGUGCUCGUGUGGCGAACGGGUGAGUAACACGUGAGUAACCUGCCCUUGUCUUUGGGAUAACUUCAGGAAACUGGGGCUAAUACCGGAUAGGAGCUCCUGCUGCAUGGUGGGGGUUGGAAAGUUUCGGCGGUUGGGGAUGGACUCGCGGCUUAUCAGCUUGUUGGUGGGGUAGUGGCUUACCAAGGCUUUGACGGAUAGCCGGCCUGAGAGGGGGACCGGCGACAUGGGGACUGAGAGACGGCCCAGACGGCUACGGGAGGCAGCAGGGGGGAAUAUUGCACAACGGGCGGGAGUCUGAUGCAGCAACGCCGCGUGCGGGAUGACGUCCUUCGGGUUGUAAACCGCUGUCGCCUGUGACGAAGCGGGAGUGACGGUAACGGGUAAAGAAGCACCGGCUAACUACGUG
This 468-nucleotide ribosomal RNA is filed under the name uncultured bacterium. RNAcentral's name for it is "partial 16S ribosomal RNA". It matches the Rfam family "Bacterial small subunit ribosomal RNA", at positions 28 to 507 of the family's 1533-position model. The record is from RNAcentral.